GACGGGGGGGGCAAGUGUUCUUCGGAAUGACUGGGCGGAAAGGGCACGUAGGCGGUGAAUCGGGUUGAAAGUGAAAGUCGCCAAAAAGUGGCGGAAUGCUCUCGAAAUCAAUUCACUUGAGUGAGACAGAGGAGAGUGGAAUUUCGUGUGUAGGGGUGAAAUCCGUAGAUCUACGAAGGAACGCCAAAAGCGAAGGCAGCUCUCUGGGUCCCUACCGACGCUGGGGUGCGAAAGCAUGGGGAGCGAACAGG
This 251-nucleotide ribosomal RNA is filed under the name uncultured bacterium. RNAcentral's name for it is "partial 16S ribosomal RNA". It matches the Rfam family "Bacterial small subunit ribosomal RNA", at positions 524 to 776 of the family's 1533-position model. The record is from RNAcentral.